UAAUCCAAAUUGUUUACAAAGCAAAUUGUUGGAGCAUCGAAAAAGGUCUGCAUUUUUGUAUACUUCUGGUUUCCUUUUCCCGUUUUGGAACUUUAAUUUUUCACAAAAUUUCUUUUCUACUCUGAUGCCAUUUUUUGCCUAGGUCCACUUAAGGAUUUUUUGUUGAUUUUCAUUCUCUGAUCUGGAAAGAAGGGCACAUAUAUAUUUCUAGUAAUGUAUUUAUAAUACUUUUGUGCAAGAUCUAGCACUCGAAAGUACAAUUUGUCACAGUCAUUCAAAUCAGAUUUAUAAACUCCUUUGGCCUGACAAAACAAAUUAAAAAGCAUUAUUUUAAAUCAAAUGGAAGCUGAAGUUAAAAGAGAUACUGAGGUCCUUACUACACUGUAAAUGUUCUCUUUUACAGCCUUUAAACAGUACAAAAUUUGAGUUGUAUAAAUCCUAUGUGCCUUUUUUAUUUUGUUAGUUUUACUCAUGUCCAGUUAGUAAUCUUAUUAAUUAUGGCAAGUGUAUGUGCUUUUUAGAUUUACUGAUCCACUUACACAUUUAGUUUGGUGCAUAUAAAUAUAUUAUUAACAAAUAAAUAUUUAAUAGAUUCAGAUGUAAUUUUACUGAAUAACUUAGCCAUGUUCUUUUGUGGUUUUAUAGGAACUAGCCACAAUGAAACAGAUUCUAAUUAGUCUGCAUGGUAAACACUAUGAACAAAACUUACCUCACUCUCAUACUGACGUAAAAAGUGUGACUGCAAAAAACAAAUCGAAUCCUUCAGGAAAACCGUUUCCAGAACAUGAAGAAGAAAAUAUAUUUACACCUAAGCCAACGUUAUUUACAAAUAAAGAGGCACCUGUAUGGUACAAGAAACUGCAGAAGAAAACAUCACCAUAGCAUUUUUCCAGAAUUACUCAAAAUAAUCUUUUGGGAAUAUUUUCUUGGAAGAAAGUUAUUUUCACCAUAAUGAUGCCCUUUUUACCAUAAAAACAAACAACUGUUUUGGUUUAAACUGUUUUUUUGUACCUGUUAAAUGAUCUUAUGCUUCAUAAAAUACUUUUUAGAUCUGUCGUGUGAAUAAGUGUGUGGAAAUAAUACAUGAAAUUAUUUUACUAACAUGUAUUUGAAUUUUAAAAGAUAAAUAAACACUAGCAUAUUGUACACAUUUAUAAUCCACGCAGUUAAAGGACGUGUUAUUUAGAGUGUUCAAAUUAAUGCACAUUUCAGGUAUUUUAUAUUGUUUUUCUUGGACCCUGUGUUUUUGUGCCACAUUCCUUGCAACUAUUCUGCCUCAUAAAAAUUUCAAACAUAUACGUGAGUUAACAUCAAACUAUAUACUGCUUUCUGUGAAGGAAAUUCAUGUCAGGUGAAAAUAAAUAAUUUUUUAUCAGCCUUAAUUUGUAUAAUUUGUUAUUUGAUAUAAUUUGUUCUACCAGACAGGCAUUAAAAAUUCUGAAGAAGCAAUGAAUACAUCUUAAUUACCAGCAUUGAUUCCUUAUUGGCUAGAUACACUUGCUCUGGUAUAGUUGCAUCAGUGUAAUAAUAAAAUUAGGCCAUGAUGUGUGAUUAUCAUGCAAUAGUGAAAUGGAUAACUUUGCAUAUUUAGUUGUAUGAAAAUAAGCCACAUCUUCCAAAAACACAGUCUACUUAUUUAUUCGGCUCCACCAUUUAUUUAGACUAUAGAAAAUGUCUCUCAUAUUUUAAAGCACUUUUGUCUGCAUAUGGUACCUUUCUGUAUAUAACAUAAAUAUAAAAGAUAUUGUUUAAGUCACUGUACACUGAAAAUAUUGCUCAGAUUUAAUUUAAAAGGAAGCUUCUUUUCCUUACCUCCUCUUUCCUUGACAGUAUCUCUUCAACUGAUUCAUUGUUCCUACCUGGACAUGAACAAUAAUUACUUCCUGUAUAAUACAAAGCUUAAUCUUAUCAAGCUUAUGAUUCCUAGAUACAUUUUUCUUUGUUUUCCAAACAGCAGUUUGACACACAGCAAUACUUCCUCUGCUACAGGUAAACUUCAGUUUCUUUAUUGGUGUCUUUUUUCUAAUUCUGAGAGUAAGGUAAAAAUGCACAUCACUGGUUUAAAAUUAGCAUUCUGUGAGUGAGGGAGGCCAAGUGCACAGACAGAGCUGGUAUGUUUUACUAGACUAACUGGUGUUCACUGGGAAAUAAAUAGACAAACCUUUGGUCUCACAAG
Molecule: long non-coding RNA, 2176 nt
Organism: Melopsittacus undulatus (budgerigar)
Lineage: Eukaryota; Metazoa; Chordata; Aves; Psittaciformes; Psittaculidae
Source: Ensembl